AUUGAACGCUGGCGGCAUGCCUUACACAUGCAAGUCGAACGGCAGCACGGGUGCUUGGCCCUGGUGGCGAGUGGCGAACGGGUGAGUAAUACAUCGGAACAUGUCCUGUAGUGGGGGAUAGCCCGGCGAAAGCCGGAUUAAUACCGCAUACGAUCUACGGAUGAAAGCGGGGGACCUUCGGGCCUCGCGCUAUAGGGUUGGCCGAUAGCUGAUUAGCUAGUUGGUGGGGUAAAGGCCUACCAAGGCGACGAUCAGUAGCUGGUCUGAGAGGACGACCAGCCACACUGGGACUGAGACACGGCCCAGACUCCUACGGGAGGCAGCAGUGGGGAAUUUUGGACAAUGGGCGAAAGCCUGAUCCAGCAAUGCCGCGUGUGUGAAGAAGGCCUUCGGGUUGUAAAGCACUUUUGUCCGGAAAGAAAUCCUUGGCUCUAAUACAGUCGGGGGAUGACGGUACCGGAAGAAUAAGCACCGGCUAACUACGUG
RNAcentral lists this ribosomal RNA (486 nucleotides) under uncultured bacterium. RNAcentral's name for it is "partial 16S ribosomal RNA". It matches the Rfam family "Bacterial small subunit ribosomal RNA", at positions 30 to 507 of the family's 1533-position model. The record is from RNAcentral.